Molecule: ribosomal RNA, 497 nt
Filed under: uncultured bacterium
Lineage: Bacteria
Description: partial 16S ribosomal RNA
Rfam family: Bacterial small subunit ribosomal RNA
Source: RNAcentral
GAUGAACGCUGGCGGCGUGCCUAAUACAUGCAAGUCGAGCGAACGGACGAGAAGCUUGCUUCUCUGAUGUUAGCGGCGGACGGGUGAGUAACACGUGGAUAACCUACCUAUAAGACUGGGAUAACUUCGGGAAACCGGAGCUAAUACCGGAUGAUAUUUUGAACCGCAUGGUUCAAAAGUGAAAGACGGUCUUGCUGUCACUUAUAGAUGGAUCCGCGCUGCAUUAGCUAGUUGGUAAGGUAACGGCUUACCAAGGCAACGAUGCAUAGCCGACCUGAGAGGGUGAUCGGCCACACUGGAACUGAGACACGGUCCAGACUCCUACGGGAGGCAGCAGUAGGGAAUCUUCCGCAAUGGGCGAAAGCCUGACGGAGCAACGCCGCGUGAGUGAUGAAGGUCUUCGGAUCGUAAAACUCUGUUAUUAGGGAAGAACAUAUGUGUAAGUAACUGUGCACAUCUUGACGGUACCUAAUCAGAAGGCCACGGCUAACUACGUG